RNAcentral lists this long non-coding RNA (1352 nucleotides) under Parus major (Great Tit). RNAcentral describes it as "lncRNA (ENSPMJG00000016809.1)". The record is from RNAcentral. Lineage: Eukaryota; Metazoa; Chordata; Aves; Passeriformes; Paridae.
GAAGCACAGGGUGGAAGUCCCCUCCUUAUCCCCUUCUCCGUGUUCUCUGCAGGAGCCGCUGGGUUUCUGAGUAUGCAGACAGCUACAGCAUCUUCCUGAAGAGGCUGGACUGGUCAUCUCCCAUCUCUGCACAAUGGCUGCCCUUUGGGAAGGAUGCACGAUGGACACCGCGAUGGAGAGAGUCCACUCACUGAGUGGUGCUAGGGUGGCUGUGCUCUUUGGCCCUCCAAGCUGUGUGAUGUUGUUCAUCAGAGACCCUGAAAGCCUUGGAAACCUCAUCUCUACCAAACCUACCACCAUGUCUAUCAGAUGUGAAAAGUUUGCCAAAGACCUCCUUAAGUACAAAUUAUGAUUAAAAUCUCCCAAGAACCUCAGCUUUUAUCAUUGUCAGAAAAAGGUUUUUUUGCAGGGGGACAAUGAAGGCUACAGAGCUAAAACCAGUCAGGCAGUUUCCAUUUAUGUACUUUAAAGAAAACUUGGUGAUAAAACUUUGCCUCUCAGUGAGAAGUAGUGUGUGUUAAACAGCAUUGUUAGUGUUAAUUUACUCUAUAAAACCUUGUGUACUUACAGGGAGGGAAAUACCCAUGUUAUCCAGGGCAGCUGAGUGUCAGUCUUGCAGAGCUCCUUCCCCUCUACAUUUAACAACUUAUUCCAGGUUUUGACCAUUAAUUUCAGCUAAUGCUGGCUAAACGGGAAUUGAGUUUGCCGUGUCCGUUUGGGAUUUGUAGGUUUCUGGAAGGAUCAAGGCUGCUCCCAGCCUGAAGAUGGCAAUGGAGAGCCGCCGAUCCCAGACCUGGAAAGGGCUGACAGCCCUUCUGAUGUGGCUUUAGUGAUGCGACUGGGUCUUCUAAAUUGAUGCCAAAAUUAUCCCAGAGUAGGUGGUGUAGAGAAACCUCUCCCCGACUCCUAAAAGGUAUUCCUUUUAAAGGACAUCCUUGCAGUAUUGAGGGAUAAGCAAGACCUUUUUAACAAAUACAGCUAAAAUGUCAAAAAUAAUGAGAAAAGGAACUUAUUUUACAGUAAUAUCAACUAUCCCCAGACCUGCUGGUGGCAGGACCUAUGUAGACACAGCAGCACCUGCCCCAAGGAGUUCAUCAUCUAAAUUCUGUGGGAUUUAGCAAAAUGAUGUCUGGCAGGGCCAAGCUCCAAGCAGAUGAACGGGGAAGUAGAAUGGGCCAUAAUUUCUGCAAAUCUGCUCUGAUGUGGGGCAUUGCUGACCACAGCUCAUGCAGCAUUUGGGAUUUCCACUGUAGCUAAGUGUAGCUGACUUGUGGCAAUUUUAGAGGACAGAAAUAUUUAAGUUAAAAAAUAGAGAAAAAUACUUGCUUAUCUCAGAGAGGAGACAGAGUUUG